GCCUUCGUGGUGUAAUGGUCAGCAUACUCGGCUCGUAUUCGUUAGGUCUGUGGUUCAAGUCCCGGCGAGGCA
This 72-nucleotide transfer RNA is filed under the name Stegodyphus mimosarum. It matches the Rfam family "tRNA". Rfam says of the family: Transfer RNA (tRNA) molecules are approximately 80 nucleotides in length. Their secondary structure includes four short double-helical elements and three loops (D, anti-codon, and T loops). Lineage: Eukaryota; Metazoa; Arthropoda; Arachnida; Araneae; Eresidae. The record is from Rfam by way of RNAcentral.